Molecule: ribosomal RNA, 397 nt
Filed under: uncultured bacterium
Lineage: Bacteria
Description: partial 16S ribosomal RNA
Rfam family: Bacterial small subunit ribosomal RNA
Source: RNAcentral
AUACGAAGGGUGCAAGCGUUACUCGGAAUUACUGGGCGUAAAGCGUGCGUAGGUGGUUGUUUAAGUCUGUCGUGAAAGCCCUGGGCUCAACCUGGGAAUGGCGAUGGAAACUGGGCGACUAGAGUGUGCCAGAGGGUAGUGUAAUUCCUGGUGUCGCAGUGAAAUGCGUAGAGAUCAGGAGGAACAUCCGUGGAGAAGACGUGUUCCUGUGCCAACACUGACCCUGAGGGACGAAAGCGUGGAGAACAAACAGGAUUAGAGACCCUGGUAGGCCAAGCCCUAAACGGUGUGAACUGGCUGUUGGGUGCAAUUUGGGGCGCAGUAUCGAAGCUAGAGCGUGAAGUUCGCGGCCUGGGGUGUACGGUCGCCAGACUGAACCUCAACUGCAUUGGCGGGG